RNAcentral lists this ribosomal RNA (373 nucleotides) under uncultured bacterium. Its description in RNAcentral is "bacterial SSU rRNA". It matches the Rfam family "Bacterial small subunit ribosomal RNA", at positions 521 to 896 of the family's 1533-position model. The record is from RNAcentral.
UAAUACGGAGGGUCCAAGCGUUAUCCGGAAUCAUUGGGUUUAAAGGGUCCGUAGGCGGCCCGAUAAGUCAGUGGUGAAAUCUCCCGGCUCAACCGGGAAAUGGCCAUUGAUACUGUCGGGCUUGAAUUAUCAGGAAGUAACUAGAAUAUGUAGUGUAGCGGUGAAAUGCUUAGAGAUUACAUGGAAUACCAAUUGCGAAGGCAGGUUACUACUGGUGGAUUGACGCUGAUGGACGAAAGCGUGGGUAGCGAACAGGAUUAGAUACCCUGGUAGUCCACGCCGUAAACGAUGGAUACUAGCUGUUCGGAAGCAAUUCUGAGUGGCUAAGCGAAAGUGAUAAGUAUCCCACCUGGGGAGUACGAACGCAAGUUUG